GACGAACGCUGGCGGCGUGCUUAACACAUGCCAGUCGAACGGAAAGGCCCUGCUUUUGUGGGGUGCUCGAGUGGCGAACGGGUGAGUAACACGGGAGUAACCUGCCCUUGACUUUGGGAUAACUUCAGGAAACUGGGGCUAAUACCGGAUAGGAGCUCCUGCUGCAUGGUGGGGGUUGGAAAGUUUCGGCGGUUGGGGAUGGACUCGCGGCUUAUCAGCUUGUUGGUGGGGUAGUGGCUUACCAAGGCUUUGACGGGUAGCCGGCCUGAGAGGGUGACCGGCCACAUUGGGACUGAGAUACGGCCCAGACUCCUACGGGAGGCAGCAGUGGGGAAUAUUGCACAAUGGGCGGAAGCCUGAUGCAGCAACGCCGCGUGCGGGAUGACGGCCUUCGGGUUGUAAACCGCUUUCGCCUGUGACGACGCGUGAGUGACGGUAAUGGGUAAAGAAGCACCGGCUAACUACGUG
Molecule: ribosomal RNA, 468 nt
Filed under: uncultured bacterium
Lineage: Bacteria
Description: partial 16S ribosomal RNA
Rfam family: Bacterial small subunit ribosomal RNA
Source: RNAcentral